AUGGCGAAGGACGCUCAAGUAAGAGGAGCGGCCCCAAUGGUGGCGGCCUCGAGCACCGGGAUAAGUGCAGGCUGGGGAUGCAGGAGAGGUGCAGCGCGGGGCUCGGGGCUCCGACGAGCUGGGUGCGGCGCGACGGACGACGACGGACGCAGGGACUCAUUGAUCCGGGCGCUGGUGCUCAAUCCGGUCCCGUUCCGGCCGGAUCCGCGGCGGUGCUCAUCUCCGGCGAGGUGGCCGGGGUGGCGGGGGUCCAGCAUCAUGGAGCCUCUUCGAGGGCGAGGAAGCAGACGGUGA
RNAcentral lists this ribosomal RNA (294 nucleotides) under Triticum aestivum (bread wheat). RNAcentral's name for it is "partial small subunit ribosomal RNA". The record is from RNAcentral. Lineage: Eukaryota; Viridiplantae; Streptophyta; Magnoliopsida; Poales; Poaceae.